This 301-nucleotide ribosomal RNA is filed under the name uncultured bacterium. RNAcentral describes it as "partial 16S ribosomal RNA". It matches the Rfam family "Bacterial small subunit ribosomal RNA", at positions 512 to 810 of the family's 1533-position model. The record is from RNAcentral.
CAGCCGCGGGAAUACGAAGGGUGCAAGCGUUACUCGGAAUUACUGGGCGUAAAGCGUGCGUAGGUGGUGGUUUAAGUCCGUUGUGAAAGCCCUGGGCUCAACCUGGGAAUUGCAGUGGAUACUGGGUCACUAGAGUGUGGUAGAGGAUAGUGGAAUUUCCGGUGUAGCAGUGAAAUGCGUAGAGAUCGGAAGGAACAUCUGUGGCGAAGGCGACUAUCUGGGCCAACACUGACACUGAGGCACGAAAGCGUGGGGAGCAAACAGGAUUAGAUACCCGGGUAGUCCCUGUCUCUUAUACACA